RNAcentral lists this ribosomal RNA (468 nucleotides) under uncultured bacterium. RNAcentral describes it as "partial 16S ribosomal RNA". It matches the Rfam family "Bacterial small subunit ribosomal RNA", at positions 28 to 507 of the family's 1533-position model. The record is from RNAcentral.
GACGAACGCUGGCGGCGUGCUUAACACAUGCAAGUCGAGCGGAAAGGCCCUGCUUUUGUGGGGUGCUCGAGUGGCGAACGGGUGAGUAACACGUGAGUAACCUGCCCUUGACUUUGGGAUAACUUCAGGAAACUGGGGCUAAUACCGGAUAGGAGCUCCUGCUGCAUGGUGGGGGUUGGAAAGUUUCGGCGGUUGGGGAUGGACUCGCGGCUUAUCAGCUUGUUGGUGGGGUAGUGGCUUACCAAGGCUUUGACGGGUAGCCGGCCUGAGAGGGUGACCGGCCACAUUGGGACUGAGAUACGGCCCAGACUCCUACGGGAGGCAGCAGUGGGGAAUAUUGCACAAUGGGCGGAAGCCUGAUGCAGCAACGCCGCGUGCGGGAUGACGGCCUUCGGGUUGUAAACCGCUUUCGCCUGUGACGAAGCGUGAGUGAUGGUAAUGGGUAAAGAAGCACCGGCUAACUACGUG